UGGGGAAUAUUGCACAAUGGGCGAAAGCCUGAUGCAGCAACGCCGCGUGAGUGAUGAAGGCCUUCGGGUUGUAAAGCUCUGUCUUCUGGGACGAUAAUGACGGUACCAGAGGAGGAAGCCACGGCUAACUACGUGCCAGCAGCCGCGGUAAUACGUAGGUGGCAAGCGUUGUCCGGAUUUACUGGGCGUAAAGGAUGCGUAGGCGGAUACUUAAGUCAGAUGUGAAAAUCCCGGGCUUAACUUGGGAACUGCAUUUGAAACUGGGUAGCUAGAGUGCGGGAGAGGAAAGUGGAAUUCCUAGUGUAGCGGUGAAAUGCGUAGAGAUUAGGAAGAACACCAGUGGCGAAGGCGACUUUCUGGACCGUAACUGACGCUGAGGCAUGAAAGCGUGGGGAGCAAACA
Molecule: ribosomal RNA, 402 nt
Filed under: uncultured bacterium
Lineage: Bacteria
Description: bacterial SSU rRNA
Rfam family: Bacterial small subunit ribosomal RNA
Source: RNAcentral